This 309-nucleotide ribosomal RNA is filed under the name uncultured bacterium. RNAcentral's name for it is "bacterial SSU rRNA". It matches the Rfam family "Bacterial small subunit ribosomal RNA", at positions 28 to 334 of the family's 1533-position model. The record is from RNAcentral.
GACGAACGCUGGCGGCGGGCUUAACACAUGCAAGUCGAACGAGAAGCUCCAGCUUGCUGGAGUGGAAAGUGGCGAACGGGUGCGUAACGCGUAGGCAACCUGCUCUUUAGUACGGAAUAACUUCGGGAAACCGAUGCUAAUACCGUAUACCGUCUUAGGACCGCAUGGUCCAAGGAUGAAAGCCUUCGGGCGCUAAGGGAUGGGCCUGCGUCGGAUUAGGUAGUUGGUGAGGUAAUGGCUCACCAAGCCUGCGAUCCGUAGCUGGUCUGAGAGGAUGAUCAGCCACACUGGCACUGAGACACGGGCCAG